Long non-coding RNA from Triticum aestivum (bread wheat), 439 nucleotides. RefSeq lists it as uncharacterized. NCBI's taxonomy places the organism in Eukaryota, Viridiplantae, Streptophyta, Magnoliopsida, Poales, Poaceae. The record is from RefSeq and is a predicted model, not a curated record. The transcript has 3 exons.
AAGUUAACAAUAACUAGGAUGCACUCAGAAUACUCAUGUAUUUGUUUCCCAUAUUAUUAUCAAUCCAAGGAUCAAAGAUUGUUUCCCAUAUUAUUAUCAAUCCAAGGAUCGAAGAAGAAAAAAAGGGACAUGGCAAAAUUGACUUUAGAGAGCUGGACCAGGAUCUACAAAAAUGAUCACACUUAGGGCAGAAUAAUGAUGAAGCCCCGUGCUUUUUUAAUCCAGAGGUCACUUCUGACCUGGCUAAGAGAAGAUCAGAAGAACAUUUAGGGAUACGAUGGAAGGGAGUUAGUUCCCUAUCUGAAACUGUUUAACGUCCUCUAUCUCAUCAGACUAAUAAACAAAGCCAUGGAAUAUUCGCAUAUCUUCACUACAAAAUGUGACCAAGAUGGAAGAGGCCCUCCUACAAACUUUGCUGCAUGUAUUUGUUGCUUGUAAG